Molecule: non-coding RNA, 502 nt
Organism: Pelobates cultripes (western spadefoot toad)
Lineage: Eukaryota; Metazoa; Chordata; Amphibia; Anura; Pelobatidae
Source: the annotation of a GenBank genome assembly
CACAGAGACACAGACACACAUACAUACAGAGACACAGACACACACACACAUACAGAGACAGAGACACAGACACACACACACAUACAGAGACACACACACAUACAGAGACACAGACACACACACACAUUCAGAGACACACAGAUACAUACAGACACACACAUAGAGAGACACACACACAUACAGAGACACAGACACACAUACAGAGACACACACACAGACACACACAUACGGAGACACACACAUACAGAGACACACACACACACACAUACAGAGACAGACACACACAAAACAGAGACACACACACAUACACAAAAUGUUUCCUCUUUCCUACCUUUUGUGACUUUCCCUGGGGUCCAGUGGGGGCUCAGCAUGAUGGGAGUCAGAUUUCCCACUCUGACUCCCUCCUCCUUCCUGCUUCCUCCCAUGCGGGCUCUGAUAGCUGGGAGGGGUGACCAGGGAGUCACUUUCUCCCAGCUGUGAUGUCAUCACAGGGGGCCUGGUC